This 2899-nucleotide long non-coding RNA is filed under the name Homo sapiens (human). Its description in RNAcentral is "long non-coding RNA NONHSAT192585.1". Lineage: Eukaryota; Metazoa; Chordata; Mammalia; Primates; Hominidae. The record is from RNAcentral.
CCAAUGGUCUCUCUCUGGGCGGGGCUGCUGUUGGACGGCCUGGGCCAAUCCGAGGCGCCGGAGGCCAAUCAGUUGGCGGAGCGGCGCGUGCGCGGGCGAGGAACUGCCCGGGCGCGGUAGCGUACGGGAAGACCGGAGAGGAGCUGCGUCUCUGCCCCGUGGGAGCCGGCGGGGCGGCGGGGCGGCGGCUGCAGCUGCAGCUCCGGCGCGAGGGCUCCCUUGCCGGGCCCUCUUCCCCGACCCCUGGGGCGCUCCGACAAGGAAGAGCCGUCCAGCGCGCGUCCGUCCUGAGCGUGGGCUAGGCAGGGCCGCACAGCGCGGGCAGAGUGCGGGAUGCGGGCACCCGGCCUAGAACCAAUUACAGAGUCAAACCCAAGAGCCGAAGAAAGUGAAGACUCGCAGCUUGCCGCAGCCCCCUCCUCGGCCUGCGCACCUCCCAUUGAGGGCGUCCUGAUUUAAACGCGUGCCUCCUGCAUUUCUGCUUCUGCCCCAGGCUAGAGCGGCGACCAGGAACGCUGGACCCACAGAGAUCUGUGGCAAUGUCUGUCGAACCAUGGUGUUCUUUGGGGCAUCUGACUAGAGUAUUGUUUGAUAACCAGAAAGAAAUCAAAAAUUGGUGAUCACAAGACUGGAACCGAUAAAUGCACCUCUGGCUCUUGAUAAUGCAAUUAUUGACUUGGUGAACAUUCUUUUCAAUUGCCAGUGGUAAAGAGGAUUAAAAGCAGUUCACAUUUAUAUGGGAAGGACAGCUCUGUAAAUGGUCUUGCUUCUUGCUGUCUGAACUCUCCUGUUCUCUGUCACAAUAGUCCUUAGGUAGCUUAUCAUCUAUAUUCCAUAUAACAUUGAUGAUGUCAUACUAGUUGGACAUGGUGAAGAAGGCCGUGCAUGUCAGAGGAUGAGCGAGAAGCCCUCAGAAGUUCUGGAGCCUGCCAUAUCAGUGACAUUCUCAGGGGUGCAGCGUUUGAGGGCAAGCCAGGGACAAGUUAUUGCAUCCUGCAUCCUUACAAGGAAGAAAGAGGCACAGCAUUGAGGCACCUCUGUGUUUUGGAGUCAGCAUGCACCGCGCUAGAGGAUACCUCUCUGACCCCUUUAUUGGGUAACGGGAAAACUGCCAGCUUUGAGUGGGGCCCAGAGAAAAAGAGGGCUCUGCUAAAGAUUUGGAUUGGGAGAUGGGCUUCCCUGCUGCAUAGAUCCAAUGGGUUACCGGGGGGCUUAUUUGGGGUAGGAAGGACCCUAUAUGGCAUCUCUGGCAAACUCCAACGGAAGAGUUGCAGUACACUGUCCUAGAGUUCUUGGACAAGACCAUGCCUUCUGCAGCAGAGAACUACUCGCCAAGUGAGAGCAGUAUCAGGCACACUACCAGACCCAGGGGAGUUGGUGAACAGCAGGAUGGAUGGGAUGUCAGUCAGCUGUGCCCCUGGCUACCCCUGUGCUUGAACAGUGGACUGUGAGUGGCGGCGUCAUGCAGAAGGAGCACAGGGUCCCAGGCCAGCAUCACUAUCCAGGAGCUUCAGGCAUGCUCCGUGUACCAACAUGGGAUCACGAAUCACAUCGCCUCAGGCCAAGAAAGCCAUUUUAUAGCGAAAGAGGCUUAGGAUCUGCUGGAUUAGAGCCUGUUUCCCAGGUAGGAACGCUUCCACGAGGGCACUCCUGCUGGUUGCAGGAAGGAUACCUCUGCUGAGCCUGAAUCUGCAAAGACCACCAGGUUACUCUCAGCUCCUCAUACUGGUGGACCAGCAGGCCACAAAGGAGGGGAUACUUGAUCCUGAUAAACGGCACUAUCACAGCUUACUGCAGCCUUGACCUCCUGGGCUCAAGCGAUCCUUCAGCCUCCUGAGUAGCUGGGACUACAGGACUUUUUAAAUACAUUCUGAUAAUCUCUGCCUUUCAAUCUGAGUUUAGAUCAUUUCUAUUUAAUGUAAUCAUUGAUAUUAUUGGGUUUAAAUCUACCAUCUUGCUAUUUAUUUGUCCCAUCUUACCUUUGUUCCAUUUCCACUUCUUUUCUGCUUUCUGAUGGAUUGAUCAAGUAUGUUUUCGUAUUCUGUUUUAUUACCACUCUUAGCUUAUUAAUUGUGUCUUGUUGUAGUUUUUAAAAUGUUUUCUCUAGGAUUUAUAAUAUACAUUUUUAACUUGUCAUAGUCUACCCUCACAUGAUGUUAUGGCAUCUACAUAUAAUGUAAGAGCCUCCUUACAGCAGUAUGUUUUCAUUUCUCCUCCCAUCCUCUGUAUUGGUGUUGUUAUGUUUUACAUCUGCAUAUGUCUUAAGGCUGGGCAUGGUGGCUCAUGCCUAUAAUCCCAGCACUUUGGGAAGCCAAGGCUGAAGAAUUCUUGAGCCCAGGCAUUCAAGACCAGCCUAGGCAAAUAGUGAGACCCUGUCUCUACAAAAAAAUAAAAAAUUAGCCAGAAACGGAACCAGGACAAAAUGAAGACAUUUUCGGACAAACUGAGUUUACUACGGAAGAUUCUCAUUAAAGAAACAUUUAAAAGGUGUAAGGAAUUGGUAUCACAGGGUGAUCUGACAAGGAAGAAGGAAUGAAGGAUAUAGAAAGAGGUUAUGCUUGUUUGCUGAUGGAAAUGAUCCAGAAGAGAAGGACAAGUUGACGAUUGAGAGGGUUAAUGUCAGGGGGAAGAAAGCGUUAAAAUGGUCGCGUCACAACAUCUUGAUUUGUCAUUGAAGGAGAAGGAGUCUGGAAGGACGCUGACAACGGGUGGUGGUCAGGAAGGAAAACCCAGUGCCUGUGGCCCAGAGGCUGGAGGAGGAACUUCAAGGAGGGAUGUUCAGCUCCCUGUGGACCCCCAUUUGUUCAUCCAUACAAUGAUGCUCUGAGGAGCACACAAGGAAGGUGCAAAUUUGAUAAAAUGUGCAUGAUGUAAGGAGCAUAAACCCCCUCAGGAAAGA